Molecule: ribosomal RNA, 432 nt
Filed under: uncultured bacterium
Lineage: Bacteria
Description: partial 16S ribosomal RNA
Rfam family: Bacterial small subunit ribosomal RNA
Source: RNAcentral
CCUACGGGAGGCUGCAGUGGGGAAUAUUGGACAAUGGGCGAAAGCCUGAUCCAGCAACGCCGCGUGAGGGAUGACGGCCUUCGGGUUGUAAACCUCUUUCAGCAGGGACGCGGUACCUGCAGAAGAAGCACCGGCCAACUACGUGCCAGCAGCCGCGGUAAUACGUAGGGUGCAAGCGUUGUCCGGAAUUAUUGGGCGUAAAGGGCUCGUAGGCGGUCCAUCACGUCGGGAGUGAAAAGCUGGGGCUUAACCCCAGUCCUGCUUCCGAUACGGGUGGACUAGAGGUAGGCAGGGGAGAACGGAAUUCCUGGUGUAGCGGUGAAAUGCGCAGAUAUCAGGAGGAACACCGGUGGCGAAGGCGGUUCUCUGGGCCUUCCUGACGCUGAGGAGCGAAAGCAUGGGGAGCAAACAGGAUUAGAUACCCUUGUAGUC